GCGGAGAGCAUGAGCAAUUUGGUGACGGAGAAGUGAAAACCUGGAACCCUAGUAUCUGCUGAAGAACGACGUCGCCGGAACGAAACAUAGAGGAAAGAAGAAGAAGAAGCAGCAGCAGGAGGAGGGAAGGAAGGAAGGAAGGAAGAGGAGUUUGAAGUGAAGCGUAGAAUUUGAUUUUGGAGUCAGGGAUCGGACAGAGUGUGAGGGNNAACAAAAAAAAAAAUUAAGGAAAGAGAGGCAAUAUGAUUAAAACAAAUGACUGAAUACGAG
RNAcentral lists this unclassified non-coding RNA (270 nucleotides) under Hevea brasiliensis (rubber tree). Lineage: Eukaryota; Viridiplantae; Streptophyta; Magnoliopsida; Malpighiales; Euphorbiaceae. The record is from RNAcentral.